This 913-nucleotide long non-coding RNA is filed under the name Homo sapiens (human). RNAcentral's name for it is "HSALNT0401827". Lineage: Eukaryota; Metazoa; Chordata; Mammalia; Primates; Hominidae. The record is from RNAcentral.
AGGAAAACCUGAUUGAGCAGAACUUCUGCAUCUCCUCUGUCUGCCAGAGGGACCCUUCCAGCACCUGCUGUGUGAAUGUCCCUUGCAUUGCUUUUGAAAAGAUGCAAGAGCUCAUCUAUAUCUUUGAAAUGUCUGUCAGAAAAUGUGCUUAGCAUUGGGGUAGUUGCCUAAUCCAUAUCCAUGUGGAUAGCUCUUUACUUAGGAAACCUUGAUGGCUUAUUUGGAUGACAAAGGUUCCCUUUUGGCGAUACAUAGCCAUGCGAGACAACAUAGCCAUGAAACAAACCAAGUCCACCAGUGGCUUCCUAGGAACACAUUUGCUUUCCUGAUAAAAGAGGACAGAUGCAGUUGCAGAAGUACCUGUGCCUCUUUUUCUUUUUCUUCUUCUUUUUCUUUUUUAAUCUCUUAAAUGCAGAUAUAAGAACUGGUACUGAAGCAGCCAUCUUGUGACCAUAAGGAAGAAGCCAAGAACAUCAGAACCAGUGGCCUAGCCAUUGCACAGUCAUCUAAACACACCUCUGGACUUGUUAUUAUGUAAAAAAAAAUAAACACCUGCUCUUGUUAUUUGCAAUUCAACAUAAUCGUAACUUACAUAAUAUUUAUCAAAUUGAUACAAAUAAGAAAUAAAUUACUUGGGAAUAAAAUUUCCAGUAGUUUGUCAAGCAUCUCCAAUCUUCUGAUUUCUUUAUUUCCCAUUGCAUUUUUCCCCAAUAAAUAUUCAUCUUCAAUACUCAAGAGUCUUCGUUAUGUCAGAGGGAAGUUGCUCUGAAGCUAAAAUCACAAUAGAAAAAUAUAUCCAGAGGUAUAGGCCUGUAUCCCCCAGCAGUUUCUUUCUUUGGUUAUGUCAUCUAUUGUCAGGGCAUAUCAACAAAACACAACGAAUGGUCGGAUGUGGCUGUCCUUGGUCAUGAUC